RNAcentral lists this non-coding RNA (31 nucleotides) under Mus musculus (house mouse). Lineage: Eukaryota; Metazoa; Chordata; Mammalia; Rodentia; Muridae. The record is from RNAcentral.
UAGCAGGAACAAGUUCCCUCCUGUGGAGUGU